This 278-nucleotide ribosomal RNA is filed under the name Glomeromycota sp. RNAcentral describes it as "partial small subunit ribosomal RNA". It matches the Rfam family "Eukaryotic small subunit ribosomal RNA", at positions 569 to 852 of the family's 1831-position model. The record is from RNAcentral. Lineage: Eukaryota; Fungi; Glomeromycota.
AGCAGCCGCGGUAAUUCCAGCUCCAAUAGCGUAUAUUAAAGUUGUUGCAGUUAAAAAGCUCGUAGUUGAAUUUCGGGAUUAGUACGUCGGUCGUGCCUUAGGUACGUACUGGUGUUACUGGUUCCUACCUUCUGACGAACCAUCAUGUCAUUAAUUUGGUGUGGUGGGGAAUCAGGACUGUUACUUUGAAAAAAUUAGAGUGUUUAAAGCAGGCUCGCGCUUGAAUACAUUAGCAUGGAAUAAUGAAAUAGGACGUUGAUCCUUUUUUUUUGGUUUUU